Non-coding RNA from Zonotrichia albicollis (white-throated sparrow), 522 nucleotides. The record is from RefSeq and is a predicted model, not a curated record. Lineage: Eukaryota; Metazoa; Chordata; Aves; Passeriformes; Passerellidae.
GGCCUCUUUGUGUGGUCCAAGAGUUAGUGGUGUGUCAGACUGUGACAUGGGACACGAGUGGCACACGGAGCAGGGAGGACUGAGGCAGCUCCAGUACAUCUGCACAAAUCCACAGCCAUCCACAAGUGGCACAUGUGGUCAUGGAGCUGGAAGGGGAAUAUGAGAUUGUCUUGAGUGAACCAUGAAAAUCUAAAUGCCAGUUUGUGCUGUGCUGUAGCAGAGCAGAAGUAAACCUCUUUAGAGCUGGUGAAUGUGAUGAGCCUUCCAUGCAAGCAUGAACUUCAGGGAUGGAACUGAGCUGCUAUUACCAGGCAGACACUGGAUACUGUAGCUGCAGUCACUGGAGCUGUGGGAUUUCUCCCUCAGCACCACACACUGCAUGGUGCUCAAAUCCCUGCAGAGCCUGUCAGGGAACACCCAUUUGUCUGCAAGUGCAUGCUGUAAACUGGUAAGCUUGACUUUCCAAAAUUAAGAGGAGGAGAGUUUCCCAGAGGCUCGAUUGGGCAUCACUUCCUUUGCCUU